AUGAAGAGAAUGGAAUUCUUUAGCAUAUCUCUUCUAGAAGUACUUGUGUCAAAAUGGACCUGUUUGGAGAUAGAUGUUCUUCUCUGCAUUCAGAGAUCUGAAUUCCUAUCAGGCUUGUGGCAAGGACAAACUCUCCUAUCAGUGACACCUAUGAAACACAAAAAACCCACAAUGGAGUUACGGGGGGAUAAAUGAUUUGCAUGAUACUUCUGCACAGAGUUUGAUGGUUGAAGCGAAAGUGGACUGUUAAUAACAAGCCAACUGAAGUUAUUGCUUGCUUUAUCUUGAACAAGUUUUGCCCUAAAUACCUGCAUUUCCAAUACAUCGGAAAUUUUCUUGCUCCGAGUUCUUUGAAGUAGAUUGCAUUGUUGUGUGAAGUAGAGAAGAUGUGAAAAGCAAAAACUGAACGCAGCAAGCUCUGCCCUUCUUGAGUGCUCUGAGGGGUUCUUGGGGAAAAAGGGAAAAGAAUGCAAAAGAGAAGCACAAAGUUAAUCUUUCGUUCCUUCAGUAUUUUCUCAUGAUUCUUAACAAAAAUGUAUAAAAUUAAAAAAAAAAAUUAGAUUGAUGUCUAAUUACGUCCGAAUAGGAUCUGCCGAAGGAAAGCCAGCAGUCUUGUUCUGUUUGCUUCCAAUGACAAUAAGUAACCUUUUCAGCGGUUUUUUUGUUUGUUUUAUUCUCCCCCCAACUCUGUUCCCCUUCUACAACCAGGGAGUGUUUUUAAGGUUUUAAAAAUUUGAAUUGAGAUGAGAUUGUGUGAUAUAUGGUUACUGCGAUUCAUGUCUUUAAGUUUUCUCUGCCAAUAAGUGACUUCCUCUUCUUUUUCAUGACAAAGGUGUAUUUAAUCCUGUGAGAAGAAUUUUAAUAGUAUUUAUGGUAAAUAAGUGCAACAUUUAUUUACAGUAGUCUGCAUUAAUUCAGUUUAUGAGGCUUUUUGGACACUAUUAUUAACCAGCACAAAGUUGGGUUUGUGUUUUUGAGUGCUUCAGCCUGUGGUUUUGAUUUUAUUUUGUAAAAUAUUGAAUUGGUGGGGUUUUUAAAUUAAAAAUAAUUCUUAAUGACUAGAAAGCAUGGUUUAAAU
Molecule: long non-coding RNA, 1078 nt
Filed under: Apteryx rowi (Okarito brown kiwi)
Lineage: Eukaryota; Metazoa; Chordata; Aves; Apterygiformes; Apterygidae
Description: lncRNA (ENSARWG00000010457.1)
Source: RNAcentral